UUCUCUUUAAAGUGAGAGUUUGUCUUAGUG
Molecule: non-coding RNA, 30 nt
Filed under: Rattus norvegicus (Norway rat)
Lineage: Eukaryota; Metazoa; Chordata; Mammalia; Rodentia; Muridae
Source: RNAcentral